GACUGAACGCUGGCGGCAGGCCUAACACAUGCAAGUCGAGCGGAUGAAGGGAGCUUGCUCCUGGAUUCAGCGGCGGACGGGUGAGUAAUGCCUAGGAAUCUGCCUGGUAGUGGGGGAUAACGUCCGGAAACGGGCGCUAAUACCGCAUACGUCCUGAGGGAGAAAGUGGGGGAUCUUCGGACCUCACGCUAUCAGAUGAGCCUAGGUCGGAUUAGCUAGUUGGUGGGGUAAAGGCCUACCAAGGCGACGAUCCGUAACUGGUCUGAGAGGAUGAUCAGUCACACUGGAACUGAGACACGGUCCAGACUCCUACGGGAGGCAGCAGUGGGGAAUAUUGGACAAUGGGCGAAAGCCUGAUCCAGCCAUGCCGCGUGUGUGAAGAAGGUCUUCGGAUUGUAAAGCACUUUAAGUUGGGAGGAAGGGCAGUAAGUUAAUACCUUGCUGUUUUGACGUUACCAACAGAAUAAGCACCGGCUAACUUCGUGCCAGCAGCCGCGGUAAUACGAAGGGUGCAAGCGUUAAUCGGAAUUACUGGGCGUAAAGCGCGCGUAGGUGGUUCAGCAAGUUGGAUGUGAAAUCCCCGGGCUCAACCUGGGAACUGCAUCCAAAACUACUGAGCUAGAGUACGGUAGAGGGUGGUGGAAUUUCCUGUGUAGCGGUGAAAUGCGUAGAUAUAGGAAGGAACACCAGUGGCGAAGGCGACCACCUGGACUGAUACUGACACUGAGGUGCGAAAGCGUGGGGAGCAAGCAGGAUUAGAUACCCUGGUAGUCCACGCCGUAAACGAUGUCGACUAGCCGUUGGGAUCCUUGAGAUCUUAGUGGCGCAGCUAACGCGAUAAGUCGACCGCCUGGGGAGUACGGCCGCAAGGUUAAAACUCAAAUGAAUUGACGGGGGCCCGCACAAGCGGUGGAGCAUGUGGUUUAAUUCGAAGCAACGCGAAGAACCUUACCUGGCCUUGACAUGCUGAGAACUUUCCAGAGAUGGAUUGGUGCCUUCGGGAACUCAGACACAGGUGCUGCAUGGCUGUCGUCAGCUCGUGUCGUGAGAUGUUGGGUUAAGUCCCGUAACGAGCGCAACCCUUGUCCUUAGUUACCAGCACCUCGGGUGGGCACUCUAAGGAGACUGCCGGUGACAAACCGGAGGAAGGUGGGGAUGACGUCAAGUCAUCAUGGCCCUUACGGCCAGGGCUACACACGUGCUACAAUGGUCGGUACAAAGGGUUGCCAAGCCGCGAGGUGGAGCUAAUCCCAUAAAACCGAUCGUAGUCCGGAUCGCAGUCUGCAACUCGACUGCGUGAAGUCGGAAUCGCUAGUAAUCGUGAAUCAGAAUGUCACGGUGAAUACGUUCCCGGGCCUUGUACACACCGCCCGUCACACCAUGGGAGUGGGUUGCUCCAGAAGUAGCUAGUCUAACCGCAAGGGGGACGGUUACCACGGAGUGAUUCAUGACUGGGGUGA
RNAcentral lists this ribosomal RNA (1460 nucleotides) under uncultured bacterium. RNAcentral describes it as "bacterial SSU rRNA". It matches the Rfam family "Bacterial small subunit ribosomal RNA". The record is from RNAcentral.